This 293-nucleotide ribosomal RNA is filed under the name uncultured bacterium. RNAcentral describes it as "partial 16S ribosomal RNA". It matches the Rfam family "Archaeal small subunit ribosomal RNA", at positions 455 to 747 of the family's 1478-position model. The record is from RNAcentral.
GUGCCAGCCGCCGCGGUAAUACCGGCAGCCCGAGUGAUGGCCGAUCUUAUUGGGCCUAAAGCGUCCGUAGCUGGCCGAACAAGUCCGUCGGGAAAUCCACGUGCUUAACACGUGGGCGCCCGGUGGAAACUGCGCGGCUUGGGACCGGAAGGCGCGACGGGUACGUCCGGGGUAGGAGUGAAAUCCCGUAAUCCUGGACGGACCGCCGAUGGCGAAAGCACGUCGCGAGAACGGAUCCGACAGUGAGGGACGAAAGCCAGGGUCCCGAACCGGAUUAGAAACCCCAGUAGCCC